Molecule: ribosomal RNA, 514 nt
Filed under: uncultured bacterium
Lineage: Bacteria
Description: partial 16S ribosomal RNA
Rfam family: Bacterial small subunit ribosomal RNA
Source: RNAcentral
GAUGAACGCUGGCGGCGUGCCUAAUACAUGCAAGUCGAGCGCGAGAGUGAGGAGCUUGCUCCUCAUGAUCGAGCGGCGGACGGGUGAGUAACACGUAGGCAACCUACCCUUGAGAUUGGGAUAACUACCGGAAACGGUAGCUAAUACCGGAUACGACUUUUCCACAUAAGUGGAAUGGUUAAAAGGCGGAUUUAUCUGCCGCUCAUGGAUGGGCCUGCGGUGCAUUAGCUAGUUGGUGAGGUAGUGGCUCACCAAGGCGACGAUGCAUAGCCGACCUGAGAGGGUGAUCGGCGACACUGGGACUGAGACACGGCCCAGACUCCUACGGGAGGCAGCAGUAGGGAAUCUUCCGCAAUGGACGAAAGUCUGACGGAGCAACGCCGCGUGAGUGAUGAAGGGUUUCGGCUCGUAAAACUCUGUUGUUAAGGAAGAACACUUGAGGUAGUAACUGGCCUUGAGAUGACGGUACUUAACCAGAAAGCCACGGCUAACUACGUGCCAGCCGCCGCGGUAA